CAUUAUAGAAAGCCGAAUCCAGCUCUGGUACGGGGGAACCAAUUAAGGGGGUGAAACUUGAUAAGUGUCAGCUUUUCAAGUAGGGUGCCUGCAACCCUAACCCGUCAGCUAACCUCGGAGGCAAGUGAGAGGAGAAAC
This 138-nucleotide small RNA is filed under the name Sporomusa sphaeroides. RNAcentral's name for it is "Sporomusa sp. c-di-AMP sequence". It matches the Rfam family "c-di-AMP riboswitch aptamer (ydaO/yuaA leader)". Rfam says of the family: This family represents a conserved RNA structure found upstream of the ydaO and yuaA genes in Bacillus subtilis and related genes in other bacteria. The ydaO/yuaA element is thought to act as a genetic "off" switch for the ydaO and yuaA genes in its native state. RNAcentral also lists the same sequence under 1 other name. The record is from RNAcentral. Lineage: Bacteria; Bacillati; Bacillota; Negativicutes; Selenomonadales; Sporomusaceae.